Molecule: non-coding RNA, 72 nt
Organism: Ciona savignyi (Pacific transparent sea squirt)
Lineage: Eukaryota; Metazoa; Chordata; Ascidiacea; Phlebobranchia; Cionidae
Source: Rfam
GACUCCGUGGCGCAACGGUAGCGCGUCCGACUCCUGAUCGAAAGGUUGCGUGUUCAAAUCACGUCGGGGUCA